CACCGCGGUUAUACGAGAGGCCCUAGUUGAUAACUACCGGCGUAAAGAGUGGUUAUGGAAAAUAUUUAAUAAAGCCGAACACCCCCUCAGCCGUCAUACGCACCUGGGAGCACGAAGACCUACCGCGAAAGCAGCUCUGGGAUUAGAUACCCCACUAUG
Molecule: ribosomal RNA, 159 nt
Filed under: Oncorhynchus keta (chum salmon)
Lineage: Eukaryota; Metazoa; Chordata; Actinopteri; Salmoniformes; Salmonidae
Description: partial small subunit ribosomal RNA
Source: RNAcentral